RNAcentral lists this ribosomal RNA (143 nucleotides) under uncultured eukaryote. RNAcentral's name for it is "partial small subunit ribosomal RNA". It matches the Rfam family "Bacterial small subunit ribosomal RNA", at positions 1383 to 1525 of the family's 1533-position model. The record is from RNAcentral.
GUACACACCGCCCGUCACACCAUGGGAGUUGGCUUUACCCGAAGGUGCUGCGCUAACCGCAAGGAGGCAGGCAACCACGGUAGGGUCAGCGACUGGGGUGAAGUCGUAACAAGGUAGCCGUAGGUGAACCUGCAGAAGGAUCA